GUCAGGGGGUGUGUGGGGGGGAUUUCUUAAUUCCCAUCUCGUUCUCUCUUUCUCUCCCCGACGUCUCGUUCUCUCUUUCUCUCCCCGACGUCUCGUUCUCUCUUUCCUUCCCUGACGUCUCGUUCUCUCUUUCCCUCCCUGACAUUCUCUCUUUCCCUCCCUGACGUCUCGUUCUCUCUUUCCCUCCCCGACGUCUCGUUCUCUCUUUCCCUCCCCGACGUCUCGUUCUCUCUUUCCCUCCCCGACGUCUCGUUCACUCUUUCCCUCCCUGACGUCUCGUUCUCUCUUUCCCUCCCUGACGUCUCGUUCUCUCUUUCCCUCCCUGACGUCUCGUUCUCUCUUUCCCUCCCUGACGUCUCGUUCUCUCUUUCCCUCCCUGACGUCUCGUUCUCUCUUUCCCUCCCUGACGUCUCGUUCUCUCUUUCCCUCCCUGACGUCUCGUUCUCUCUUUCCCUCCCUGACGUCUCGUUCUCUCUUUCCCUCCCCGACGUCUCGUUCUCUCUUUCCCUCCCCGACGUCUCGUUCUCUCUUUCCCUCCCCGACGUCUCGUUCUCUCUUUCUCUCCCCGACGUCUCGUUCUCUCUUUCCCUCCCCGACGUCUCGUUCUCUCUUUCCCUCCCCGACGUCUCGUUCUCUCUUUCCCUCCCCGACAUCUCGUUCUCUCUUUCCCUCCCCGAUGUCUCGUUCUCUCUUUCCCUCCCCGACGUCUCGUUCUCUCUUUCCCUCCCUGACGUCUUUUUCUCUCUUUCCCUCCCUGACGUUCUCUCUUUGCCUCCCUGACGUCUCGUUCUCUCUUUCCCUCACGUUCUCUCUUUCCCUCCCUGACGUCUCGUUCUCUCUUUCCCUCACGUUCUCUCUUUCCCUCCCUGACGUCUCGUUCUCUCUUUGCCUCCCUGACGUCUCGUUCUCUCUUUCCCUCACGCUCUCUCUCCCUCCCUGACGUCUCAUUCUCUCUUUCCCUCCCCGAUGUCUCGUUCUCUCUUUCCCUCCCCGACGUCUCGUUCUCUCUUUCCCUCCCCGACAUUCUCUCUUUCCUUCCCUGACGUCUCGUUCUCUCUUUCCCUCCCCGACGUCUCGUUCUCUCUUUCCCUCCCCGACGUCUCAUUCUCUCUUUCCCUCCCCGAUGUCUCGUUCUCUCUUUCCUUCCCCGACGUCUCGUUCUCUCUUUCCCUCCCUGACAUUCUCUCUUUCCCUCCCUGACGUCUCGUUCUCUCUUUCCCUCCCCGAUGUCUCGUUCUCUCUUUCCCUCCCCGACGUCUCGUUCUCUCUUUCCCUCCCUGACGUCUCGUUCUCUCUUUCCCUCCCUGACGUCUCGUUCUCUCUUUCCCUCCCUGACGUUCUCUCUUUCCCUCCCUGACGUCUCGUUCUCUCUUUCCCUCCCUGACGUUCUCUCUUUCCCUCCCUGAUGUCUCGUUCUCUCUUUCCCUCCCUGACGUUCUCUUUCCCUCCCUAACGUCUCGUUCUCUCUUUCCCUCCCUGACGUCUCGUUCUCUCUUUCCCUCCCUGACGUCUCGUUCUCUCUUUCCCUCCCUGACGUUCUCUCUUUCCCUCCCUGACGUCUCGUUCUCUCUUUCCCUCCCUGACGUCUCGUUCUCUCUUUCCCUCCCUGACGUCUCGUUCUCUCUUUCCCUCCCUGACGUUCUCUCUUUCCCUCCCUGACGUUCUCUCUUUCCCUCCCUGACGUUCUCUCUUUCCCUCCCUGACGUUCUCUCUUUCCCUCCCUGACGUUCUCUCUUUCCCUCCCUGACGUCUCGUUCUCUCUUUCCCUCCCUGAUGUUCUCUCUUUCCCUCCCUGACGUUCUCUCUUUCCCUCCCUGAUGUCUCGUUCUCUCUUUCCUUCCCUGACGUUCUCUCUUUCCCUCCCUGACGUUCUCUCUUUCCCUCCCUGACGUCUCGUUCUCUCUUUCCCUCCCUGACGUUCUCUCUUUCCCUCCCUGAUGUCUCGUUCUCUCUUUCCCUCCCUGACGUUCUCUUUCCCUCCCUGACGUCUCGUUCUCUCUUUCCCUCCCCGACGUCUCGUUCUCUCUUUCCCUCCCCGACGUCUCGUUCUCUCUUUCCCUCCCCGACGUCUCGUUCUCUCUUUCCCUCCCUGACGUCUCGUUCUCUCUUUCCCUCCCUGACGUCUCGUUCUCUCUUUCCCUCCCUGACGUUCUCGCUUUCCUUCCAUGACGUCUCUUUCUCUCUUUCCCUCCCUGACGUCUCGUUCUCUCUUUCCCUCCCCGACGUCUCGUUCUCUCUUUCCUUCCCUGACGUCUCGUUCUCUCUUUCCCUCCCCGACGUCUCGUUCUCUCUUUCCCUCCCCGACGUCUCGUUCUCUCUUUCCCUCCCUGACGUCUCAUUCUCUCUUUCCCUCCCUGACGUCUCGUUCUCUCUUUCCCUCCCCGACGUCUCGUUCUCCCUUUCCUUCCCCGACGUCUCGUUCUCUCUUUCCCUCCCUGACGUUCUCGCUUUCCCUCCAUGACGUCUCUUUCUCUCUUUCCCUCCCUGACGUCUCGUUCUCUCUUUCCCUCCCCGACGUCUCGUUCUCUCUUUCCCUCCCCGACGUCUCGUUCUCUCUUUCCCUCCCCGACGUCUCGUUCUCUCUUUCCCUCCCCGACGUUCUCUCUUUGUCAGCCUCUAUCCAGAAGCGCUUGAAGAAAGAGAAAAGAUUGAAGAGGAAACUACAGGAAGUGUUGUCGUUUGAGUCCAAGAGGAGGGAGAGAGUUGAGGAUGCUCUGAAACACUGUUCCUCUCUCUCUCCUCCCAGCUGCAGCAACGAUAUUGAGGAACCAGAAGAGGAACCUGAACUGAAUGGUAACCAGCAUGACAAUCCUACAGUCCAAGAAUCCUGUUCGUUCCUGAAGACCCCGCUACUGUUCUAAUUACAUCGCUGCGAGCUCAUCACGGAACACCCGGCCUGUUGCCACGACAGCCUGGAAAGGGAACAACUCUCCUGUUUGGAUUGACUGAAAGGAGAGGGGAGGGACGUUUAAAAGAAAUGAACUGAUUAACUAAAAAGGUGGUCAGACUGCGUCAGAAUGUUCCGUCGUUAGUUCAUUCUGUCGUUUAUUCAUCCCUCUGUAUUUGGACUGAUGGAAAUACCUUUUCUUAUGUUCUUAUCUCUCUCUCUCUCUCUCUCUCUCUCUCUGUCUCUCUCUCUCUCUUUCCAUCUCUCUGUCUCUCUUUCUCUCUCUAUCCCUCUAUCUCUCUGUGUCUCUAUCUCUCUGUCUCUCUCUCUCUCUGUCUCUCCCUCUCUCUGUCUCUCCCUCUCUCUGUCUCUCUAUCCCUCUGUCUCUCCCUAUCUCUCUGUCUCUCUCUUUCUCUCUGUGUCUCUCUCUCUUUAUUUUGGGAAAUAUUGAAAGCAUAAACAUCUGUUCCUAGCCACUGAGCUCUAACUCCUCACCUUUGACCCCUGGACCUUGGGCCUAUCAGAGUGAGGGCGGUUGUGUGCUACGUGUUUAACUAUUGUUUAAUCACAGAGAGUGAAGUGAGGAGUCUGCAGAAAGACCUGCUAGAUAGAUAGUACUGAGUGCGUCCCAAAAAGACUACUUAUAUAGCACCCUGGUUUAUAUUGUCUGGUUGGAGUUUAAAAAAGAUCAAUACAGUUUAAUAUACUGAACAAAAAAUAUAAACACAACAUGCAACAAUUUCUAAGAUUUUACUGAGUUACAGUUUAUAUGAAGGAAAUCAGUCAAUUGAUAUGAAUUCAUGAGAACCUAAUCUAUGGAUUUCACAUGACUGGAAAUACAGAUAUGCUUCUGUUGGUCACAGAUACCGUUAAUAAAAAGGUAGGAUCAGGAAACCAGUCAGUAUCUGGUGUGACCAUGUGCCUCAUACAGCGCGACACAUCUCCUUCACAUAGAGUUGAUCAGGAUGUUGAUUGGUGGCCUGUGGAAUGUUUGUCCCACUUUCUCUUCCAUGGCUGUGUGAAGUCGCUGGAUAUCGGCGAGAACUGGAAAAACGCUGUCGUACACGUCGAUCCAGAGCAUCCCAAACAUGCUCAACGGGUGACAUGUUAUAUAAAUUGUAUUUUAAUGUUUAAGGACUCUUGGAAGAUUAGUCCAAAUGAGAACACAAAUAUCUGGUGAGUAUGCAGGCCAUGGAAGAACCGGGACAUUAUCCUGCUGAAACAUGAGGUGAUGGUGGUGAGGGCGCGACAACGGACCUCAGGAUCUCAUCACUGUAUUUUUUUGUUGGUGUGCAAUUCAAAUUACCAUCGAUAAAAUGCAAUUGUGUUCGUUGUGUCCGUAGCUGUCUUCCUGCCCAUAACCAUAACCCCACCAUGGGACACUCUGCACUCAAGCCUCCUUGGAUUGAUAUAACCACGUACCACGUCUCUUAGAAAUUAGCUUUCUGUGUAUUUAUUUCAUAAAAACAUGAGACCAACACUUGACAUGUUUCUAUCUUUGUUCAGUAUAAUACUACAGUAUAGUUCAGUAUAUAAAAUAUAGAAUAUGA
This is a long non-coding RNA of Salvelinus fontinalis (brook trout), 4437 nucleotides long. RefSeq lists it as uncharacterized. The transcript is spliced from 3 exons. NCBI's taxonomy places the organism in Eukaryota, Metazoa, Chordata, Actinopteri, Salmoniformes, Salmonidae. The record is from RefSeq and is a predicted model, not a curated record.